RNAcentral lists this ribosomal RNA (674 nucleotides) under uncultured Fusobacteriota bacterium. RNAcentral describes it as "bacterial SSU rRNA". It matches the Rfam family "Bacterial small subunit ribosomal RNA", at positions 36 to 722 of the family's 1533-position model. Lineage: Bacteria; Fusobacteriati; Fusobacteriota. The record is from RNAcentral.
CUGACAGAAUGCUUAACACAUGCAAGUCUACUUGAAUUUGGGUUUUUUAACUUCGAUUUGGGUGGCGGACGGGUGAGUAACGCGUAAAGAACUUGCCUCACAGCUAGGGACAACAUUUGGAAACGAAUGCUAAUACCUGAUAUUAUGAUUAUAGGGCAUCCUAGAAUUAUGAAAGCUAUAUGCGCUGUGAGAGAGCUUUGCGUCCCAUUAGCUAGUUGGUGAGGUAACGGCUCACCAAGGCGAUGAUGGGUAGCCGGCCUGAGAGGGUGAACGGCCACAAGGGGACUGAGACACGGCCCUUACUCCUACGGGAGGCAGCAGUGGGGAAUAUUGGACAAUGGACCGAGAGUCUGAUCCAGCAAUUCUGUGUGCACGAUGACGUUUUUCGGAAUGUAAAGUGCUUUCAGUUGGGAAGAAAAAAAUGACGGUACCAACAGAAGAAGUGACGGCUAAAUACGUGCCAGCAGCCGCGGUAAUACGUAUGUCACGAGCGUUAUCCGGAUUUAUUGGGCGUAAAGCGCGUCUAGGUGGUUAUGUAAGUCUGAUGUGAAAAUGCAGGGCUCAACUCUGUAUUGCGUUGGAAACUGUGUAACUAGAGUACUGGAGAGGUAAGCGGAACUACAAGUGUAGAGGUGAAAUUCGUAGAUAUUUGUAGGAAUGCCGAUGGGGAAGCC